AUCUUCGCAAUGCAUCCAAUAUGGAUAUCUGUGCUAAUUUUAGAGCUAAUACACGCAAUCAAGCCCCUUAAUUGGGGAGCAUUUAUUAGAACAAAACCGAUCGGGGUCUCCCCGCUGUUGGUGAAUCUGAAUAACUGUGCAGAUCGCAGGUCUUUGUACCGGCGACACAUUGCAAGAGUGAGUGCCUUAUCAACUGUCGAUGGUAGUAUAUAUGCCUACCAUGGUUAUUACGGGUAACGGAGAAUUAGGGUUUGACUCCGGAGAGGCAGCCUGAGAGACGGCUACCAGUUCUAAGGAACGCAGCAGGCGCGCAAAUUACACAAUGACAGUAAACUGUUGAUGUAGUGACAAGAGGUAACGGGGCGGUCCUCUAUGAGGCCCGUCAUUGUAUUGAGUAAAACUCAAAAUAUUUAACGAAACCAAUUGGAGGGCAAGUCUGGUGCCAGCAGCCGCGGUAAUUCCAGCUCCAAAAGCAUAUAUUAAAGUUGUUGCGGUUAAAAAGCUCGUAGUUGGAUCCAUGACCUCGGAGGGCGGUCCCCCACUGGGUGCGUACUGCUGCUCCGAGUCCUAUCUGUCAGUUUGUCUGUGUUGCCUUUAAUCGGGUGGCACAGGUGACUGACGUGUUUACUUUGAAAAAAUUAGAGUGUUUAAAGCAGGCGUUGAAUGCCUGAAUAGUGGUGCAUGGAAUAAUGGAAUAGGAUCUCGGUUCUAUUUUGUUGGUUCAAGAGCAUGAGAAAAUGAUUAAGAGGGACAGACGGGGGCAUUUGUAUUGCUGCGUUAGAGGUGAAAUUCUUGGAUCGUAGCAAGACAAACUACUGCGAAGGCAUUUGCCAAGAAUGUUUUCAUUAAUCAAGAACGAAAGUUAGAGGUUCGAAGGCGAUCAGAUACCGCCCUAGUUCUAACCGUAAACCAUGUCGACUAGCUAUCUGUCAGCGUUAAUAAUGACCUGACAGGCAGCUUACCGGAAACGAAAGUUUCUCGAUUCCGGGGGUAGUAUGGUUGCAAAGCUGAAACUUAAAGGAAUUGACGGAAGGGCACCACCAGGAGUGGAGCCUGCGGCUUAAUUUGACCCAACACGGGAAAACUCACCCGGCCCGGACACCGUAAGGAUUGACAGAUUAAUAGCUCUUUCUCGAUUUGGUGAUUGGUGGUGCAUGGCCGUUCUUAGUUGGUGGAGCGAUUUGUCUGGUUAAUUCCGAUAACGAACGAGAUUCUAACUUACUAACUAGUUCCACGAUCCUUGUGGUCCUAAAUACUCCUUAGAGGGAAAACCGGCAUUUAGUCGAACGAGA
This 1292-nucleotide ribosomal RNA is filed under the name metagenome. Its description in RNAcentral is "SSU rRNA". It matches the Rfam family "Eukaryotic small subunit ribosomal RNA", at positions 115 to 1443 of the family's 1831-position model. The record is from RNAcentral.